CUGAGCUGCCUCAGUCCCACCACUGUGGAGCCAUCAGCAAGGAGGACAACUUCAAAUGGAGCGAUAAGGACUGUCGCCUCCAGCUGCCGUUUCUUUGUGAGAAAGAAGUUUGAGGUUGUCUACGUUUUUAAAUCAUUCAAUUAUGAGGAGGAGCGACAGCCACUUUAUGAAACCAGACGUGAAAAAUUCAGUCAUCCUGCUCUGCCUCCGGUCCCUGUUCUCCAGAUUUUCACCUGCUCCAGAUCUCUGCUCUGCCUGACUCUCUCCACCACCCACAGCCUCUGCCCCCGGUCCUGUUUCCCCAGCCUAAGGAAGCUCAGCCCAAUUCCCUCCACUGUGUGUUGUCGCCUUAGCUGGCCCCCUGUAAUAAACUCUGAUGUC
Lampris incognitus (smalleye Pacific opah) is the source of this 381-nucleotide long non-coding RNA. RefSeq lists it as uncharacterized. The record is from RefSeq and is a predicted model, not a curated record. Lineage: Eukaryota; Metazoa; Chordata; Actinopteri; Lampriformes; Lampridae. The transcript has 3 exons.